RNAcentral lists this ribosomal RNA (464 nucleotides) under Vreelandella stevensii. Its description in RNAcentral is "partial 16S ribosomal RNA". It matches the Rfam family "Bacterial small subunit ribosomal RNA", at positions 338 to 795 of the family's 1533-position model. The record is from RNAcentral. Lineage: Bacteria; Pseudomonadati; Pseudomonadota; Gammaproteobacteria; Oceanospirillales; Halomonadaceae.
CCUACGGGUGGCUGCAGUGGGGAAUAUUGGACAAUGGGCGAAAGCCUGAUCCAGCCAUGCCGCGUGUGUGAAGAAGGCCUUCGGGUUGUAAAGCACUUUCAGUGGGGAGAAAGCCUUGGGGCUAAUACCCUCGAGGAAGGACAUCACCCACAGAAGAAGCACCGGCUAACUCCGUGCCAGCAGCCGCGGUAAUACGGAGGGUGCGAGCGUUAAUCGGAAUUACUGGGCGUAAAGCGCGCGUAGGCGGUCUGAUAAGCCGGUUGUGAAAGCCCCGGGCUCAACCUGGGAACGGCAUCCGGAACUGUCAGGCUAGAGUGCAGGAGAGGAAGGUAGAAUUCCCGGUGUAGCGGUGAAAUGCGUAGAGAUCGGGAGGAAUACCAGUGGCGAAGGCGGCCUUCUGGACUGACACUGACGCUGAGGUGCGAAAGCGUGGGUAGCAAACAGGAUUAGAUACCCCAGUAGUC